UACGGAGGGGGCUAGCGUUGUUCGGAUUCAUUGGGCGUAAAGGGUGCGUAGGUGGCGUCGUAAGUCGGGUGUGAAAUCUCGGGGCUUAACUCCGAAACUGCAUUCGAUACUGCGGUGCUUGAGGACUGGAGAGGAGACUGGAAUUUACGGUGUAGCAGUGAAAUGCGUAGAGAUCGUAAGGAAGACCAGUGGCGAAGGCGGGUCUCUGGACCGUAACUGACGCUGAGGAGCGAAAGCAUGGGGAGCGAACAGG
Molecule: ribosomal RNA, 253 nt
Filed under: uncultured bacterium
Lineage: Bacteria
Description: partial 16S ribosomal RNA
Rfam family: Bacterial small subunit ribosomal RNA
Source: RNAcentral